RNAcentral lists this transfer RNA (74 nucleotides) under Stappia stellulata. RNAcentral describes it as "tRNA-Cys". It matches the Rfam family "tRNA". From Rfam's summary of the family: Transfer RNA (tRNA) molecules are approximately 80 nucleotides in length. Their secondary structure includes four short double-helical elements and three loops (D, anti-codon, and T loops). The record is from RNAcentral. RNAcentral also lists the same sequence under 2 other names. Lineage: Bacteria; Pseudomonadati; Pseudomonadota; Alphaproteobacteria; Hyphomicrobiales; Stappiaceae.
GGCCUCGUGGCGGAAUGGCUACGCAAGGGAUUGCAACUCCCUUUAUCCUGGUUCGACUCCAGGCGAGGCCUCCA